Molecule: ribosomal RNA, 429 nt
Filed under: Pseudomonadota bacterium
Lineage: Bacteria; Pseudomonadati; Pseudomonadota
Description: Proteobacteria bacterium partial 16S ribosomal RNA
Rfam family: Bacterial small subunit ribosomal RNA
Source: RNAcentral
UGGGGAAUAUUGGACAAUGGGCGAAAGCCUGAUCCAGCCAUGCCGCGUGUGUGAAGAAGGUCUUCGGAUUGUAAAGCACUUUAAGUUGGGAGGAAGGGCAGUAAGCGAAUACCUUGCUGUUUUGACGUUACCGACAGAAUAAGCACCGGCUAACUCUGUGCCAGCAGCCGCGGUAAUACAGAGGGUGCAAGCGUUAAUCGGAAUUACUGGGCGUAAAGCGCGCGUAGGUGGUUCGUUAAGUUGAAUGUGAAAGCCCCGGGCUCAACCUGGGAGCUGCAUCCAAAGCUGGCGAGCUAGAGUAGGGCAGAGGGUGGUGGAAUUUCCUGUGUAGCGGUGAAAUGCGUAGAUAUAGGAAAGAACACCAGUGGCGAAGGCGACCACCUGGGCUCAUACUGACACUGAGGUGCGAAAGCGUGGGGAGCAAACAGG